UACGGAAGGCAGCAGGGGGAAUAUUGCACAAUGGGCGCAAGCCUGAUGCAGCCAUGCCGCGUGUAUGAAGAAGGCCUUCGGGUUGUAAAGUACUUUCAGUCGUGAGGAAGGUGUUAAGGUUAAUAACCUUAGCAAUUGACGUUAGCGACAGAAGAAGCACCGGCUAACUCCGUGCCAGCAGCCGCGGUAAUACGGAGGGUGCGAGCGUUAAUCGGAAUUACUGGGCGUAAAGGGCACGCAGGCGGUUAAUUAAGUUGGAUGUGAAAUCCCCGGGCUUAAACCUGGGAAUGGCAUUCAAGACUGGUUAGCUAGAGUCUUGUAGAGGGGGUAGAAUUCCAUGUGUAGCGGUGAAAUGCGUAGAGAUGUGGAGGAAUACCGGUGGGCGAAGGCGGCCCCUGGGACAAAGACUGACGCUCAUGUGCGAAAAGCGUGGGGAGCAAAACAGGGAUUAGAUACC
RNAcentral lists this ribosomal RNA (457 nucleotides) under uncultured bacterium. Its description in RNAcentral is "bacterial SSU rRNA". It matches the Rfam family "Bacterial small subunit ribosomal RNA", at positions 340 to 786 of the family's 1533-position model. The record is from RNAcentral.